GUGGGGAAUAUUGCACAAUGGGCGCAAGCCUGAUGCAGCAACGCCGCGUGAGGGAUGACGGCCUUCGGGUUGUAAACCUCUUUUAGUAGGGAAGAAGCGAAAGUGACGGUACCUGCAGAAAAAGCACCGGCUAACUACGUGCCAGCAGCCGCGGUAAUACGUAGGGUGCAAGCGUUGUCCGGAAUUAUUGGGCGUAAAGAGCUCGUAGGCGGCUUGUCGCGUCUGCUGUGAAAUCCCGGGGCUCAACCCCGGGCCUGCAGUGGGUACGGGCAGGCUAGAGUGCGGUAGGGGAGAUUGGAAUUCCUGGUGUAGCGGUGGAAUGCGCAGAUAUCAGGAGGAACACCGAUGGCGAAGGCAGAUCUCUGGGCCGCUACUGACGCUGAGGAGCGAAAGCAUGGGGAGCGAACAGGAUUAGAAACCCUGGUAGUCC
This 430-nucleotide ribosomal RNA is filed under the name uncultured bacterium. RNAcentral's name for it is "partial 16S ribosomal RNA". It matches the Rfam family "Bacterial small subunit ribosomal RNA", at positions 354 to 796 of the family's 1533-position model. The record is from RNAcentral.